UUAUUUAAUAAGAUAUUAUUUUGUAUCGUACCUCAUAAUAAUUAUGUUAAACCUGUCAUUAUUUCAAACACUUGGUAGUAUCCUUUUUAGUACCUCAUGCCAACUCUUUCAUCUGUCAUGGCGGUUUGUUUUGAACUUAUUUGUUGUUGUCUUGUCAUACCUAGUUAUUUUUGCAAAUUAGUAAGUUUCAUUGAAGAAAUUGAGAAAAAGUGCUGUGUACAAGUUUGUAAAAGUGAAUCGUGAGGUGGUUGCGGCAUAUUAUUUCACAGAUUUCCCAAGAAUGAAGAUAAGAAAAAAAUAUGGCCAGCCAUCCAGAUGUUGUUCCGGUGUCACAAUAGAUCAUCAUAAUCCAGUUCAAUGUAAUGAAGAACCACACAUGAGUUCCAGUUGUGAAGGCAUUAGCUAAUUGAUAUUUAAAUUUUAACAUACUUAUUCCAUAAUGGAAAAUCUAAUUCCUUAAAGAAUUUAGGCAGUAAGAUUGGCCUCCGGCAGAAUUGUAUAAAACAAUAUUGUUUAGCCAUGUUUAGUAAUAAUAAAAAUAAAUUCAAUAAAUACAGUGUCUUUUAUUUGAAUUUGUCAUAAUCUACUAUAUCCCAUUCCACGGGGAAAGAUAUUUGAUAAGUCAAAGUCAAUAUAUAAAUACAAA
Molecule: long non-coding RNA, 646 nt
Organism: Plutella xylostella (diamondback moth)
Lineage: Eukaryota; Metazoa; Arthropoda; Insecta; Lepidoptera; Plutellidae
Source: RefSeq, a predicted model, not a curated record